GUACUGCUGUUGUUAAUUCAGGACAACCAAAUGUAACUGAAAUGAAAUGCUUUGGAACAGAAGAGAAUGAUCUAGGGGUGACCUAUGAGGUCAUAAAAGAUGUCACUGACCAACAGAACAAUGAAUGUAACACCCUUCCUGCAAGAAAGAUGUACUUGAAAAUAAAACCAGGUGAAGAGGCUACCUAUGAUGUCAUACAAGAUGACAAUGCUGAACAGAACAAAAAACAUGGCACAGUA
Protopterus annectens (West African lungfish) is the source of this 239-nucleotide long non-coding RNA. RefSeq lists it as uncharacterized. The transcript is spliced from 3 exons. Lineage: Eukaryota; Metazoa; Chordata; Ceratodontiformes; Protopteridae. The record is from RefSeq and is a predicted model, not a curated record.